GACGAACGCUGGCGGCGUGCUUAACACAUGCAAGUCGAACGGAAAGGCCCUGCUUUUGUGGGGUGCUCGAGUGGCGAACGGGUGAGUAACACGUGAGUAACCUGCCCUUGACUUUGGGAUAACUUCAGGAAACUGGGGCUAAUACCGGAUAGGAGCUCCUGCUGCAUGGUGGGGGUUGGAAAGUUUCGGCGGUUGGGGAUGGACUCGCGGCUUAUCAGCUUGUUGGUGGGGUAGUGGCUUACCAAGGCUUUGACGGGUAGCCGGCCUGAGAGGGUGACCGGCCACAUUGGGACUGAGAUACGACCCAGACUCCUACGGGAGGCAGCAGUGGGGAAUAUUGCACAAUGGGCGGAAGCCGGAUGCAGCAACGCCGCGUGCGGGAUGACGGCCUUCGGGUUGUAAACCGCUUUCGCCUGUGACGAAGCGUGAGUGACGGUAAUGGGUAAAGAAGCACCGGCUAACUACGUG
RNAcentral lists this ribosomal RNA (468 nucleotides) under uncultured bacterium. RNAcentral's name for it is "partial 16S ribosomal RNA". It matches the Rfam family "Bacterial small subunit ribosomal RNA", at positions 28 to 507 of the family's 1533-position model. The record is from RNAcentral.